GCGACCCCAGGUCAGGCGGGACUACCCGCUGA
Molecule: ribosomal RNA, 32 nt
Filed under: Ribes speciosum
Lineage: Eukaryota; Viridiplantae; Streptophyta; Magnoliopsida; Saxifragales; Grossulariaceae
Also listed under: 8 other names
Description: partial 26S ribosomal RNA
Source: RNAcentral